UCCCUGGCAGUCCAGUGGUUAAGACUCUGCAUUUCCACUGCAGGAGGCUCGGGUUCAAUCCCCGACUGGGGAA
RNAcentral lists this transfer RNA (73 nucleotides) under Bos taurus (domestic cattle). It matches the Rfam family "tRNA". Rfam says of the family: Transfer RNA (tRNA) molecules are approximately 80 nucleotides in length. Their secondary structure includes four short double-helical elements and three loops (D, anti-codon, and T loops). The record is from Rfam by way of RNAcentral. Lineage: Eukaryota; Metazoa; Chordata; Mammalia; Artiodactyla; Bovidae. RNAcentral also lists the same sequence under 4 other names.